RNAcentral lists this ribosomal RNA (468 nucleotides) under uncultured bacterium. RNAcentral's name for it is "partial 16S ribosomal RNA". It matches the Rfam family "Bacterial small subunit ribosomal RNA", at positions 28 to 507 of the family's 1533-position model. The record is from RNAcentral.
GACGAACGCUGGCGGCGUGCUUAACACAUGCAAGUCGAACGGAAAGGCCCUGCUUUUGUGGGGUGCUCGAGUGGCGAACGGGUGAGUAACACGUGAGUAACCUGCCCUUGACUUUGGGAUAACUUCAGGAAACUGGGGCUAAUACCGGAUAGGAGCUCCUGCUGCACGGUGGGGGUUGGAAAGUUUCGGCGGUUGGGGAUGGACUCGCGGCUUAUCAGCUUGUUGGUGGGGUAGUGGCUUACCAAGGCUUUGACGGGUAGCCGGCCUGAGAGGGUGACCGGCCACAUUGGGACUGAGAGACGGCCCAGACUCCUACGGGAGGCAGCAGUGGGGAAUAUUGCACAAUGGGCGGAAGCCUGAUGCAGCAACGCCGCGUGCGGGAUGACGGCCUUCGGGUGGUAAACCGCUUUCGCCUGUGACGAAGCGUGAGUGACGGUAAUGGGUAAAGAAGCACCGGCUAACUACGCG